CUCUCUGUUUCAUGUAGGUGUGCUUUUAAAUUUACCACAGUGGUGGGUUUUAUUGUGUUACCGUAGUAUUUCACAGUUACUCACGCGAGGGAAAGUAACUGAGUGGUCAUCUUCUCAGCUUGACUCCGAACAUAGACCCAGUUAUGUAAGGAGGAACGGAAAAGAGUCCCUGUGCCAAACAGAUUAGCAGAUUAGUAACAAGAUAGCAGCCCGGCUACUCGACCCUGGCACAUCACAGCAUCAAUGUUGCCGUCCCAUCUCGGUACGCAGGGGACUCGAGGGGUCACUGCCACCUGCCAGCCAUCAUGGAACAGCACGCUGAUGGUGAUGUAACUGUGAGGGAGACCACAGAUGUGCAGUGACCAGCAGCACUCUCAAAGCAAUCCGACCCCCCCGCCCCCCUCCCUCCCGCCUCGUGACCUCCAGCGCAGCGUCACACGAGAUGAGAAGCAGAAACAGCGUCUCGUGUUUCGGCGCCUCGGUGCCGUUGGAGACGGACACCGUUGACCUGCUGCUUCGUUUUCCGUCCACGGAGCCUCGUCUCGGCCGAUCGGGUGAGCGGCGGGAGGCUCUCCAGCUCGGCUUCCAGGAUGAAAUAUUCAGCAGGAGCUCGGUGGGGUUGCUUGCUGUUAGAAAUGGGCCUGAUGGGAGGACUUGUCAGGGCCGAUGGAAAGCGUCAUUCACAACAACAUUUACCCGUCUCCCCCUCUUUGUCUCACAUGCUACUUCAGAAAUGUGAAGCUCAGAGAAAUGCACUCCACAAUAACUGCACUCACGUUGCACUAGUGCUAAAGUCACUUUUAAUGCACGAUUGCAGACAUUUGUUUUUGUUGAAUUCUUAUUUAGGUCCCUAUGAAUGAGGCGGUGAGGACAUUCAGGCUCGAGUGAACCUUUCUAAAUCAACAGUCUGUGCCAAAAGUACCAAAGUUUAUUUACCCACAAAAGAGAGUUUUUUUUCUGAAUUUUAACUUAAAUCGCAAUAACUGUGACAGAGAGAUACUUGGAGGCAGCUGUUUGUAACUUGGAUUUAAGGAACACAGAAUGGUUGUUGCAUAGAGAUUAGUUAUGCUACUUUAUUGAUACGUGACCGGUUCAGUUAGAGAUGAAUUCAGUAAUAUAGAAUAAUGUUGGAACAUAUCUGACCUGAAACCUGAUAGAUGCAGUUUAAUCUAGUUUUGA
Molecule: long non-coding RNA, 1179 nt
Organism: Gasterosteus aculeatus aculeatus (three-spined stickleback)
Lineage: Eukaryota; Metazoa; Chordata; Actinopteri; Perciformes; Gasterosteidae
Source: Ensembl